RNAcentral lists this ribosomal RNA (253 nucleotides) under uncultured bacterium. Its description in RNAcentral is "partial 16S ribosomal RNA". It matches the Rfam family "Bacterial small subunit ribosomal RNA", at positions 524 to 776 of the family's 1533-position model. The record is from RNAcentral.
UACGUAGGGUGCAGGCGUUAAUCGGAAUUACUGGGCGUAAAGCGUGCGCAGGCGGCUCUUUAAGUCAGAUGUGAAAUCCCCGAGCUUAACUUGGGAACUGCGUUUGAAACUGGAGAGCUAGAGUGCGGCAGAGGGGGGUGGAAUUCCACGUGUAGCAGUGAAAUGCGUAGAUAUGUGGAGGAACACCGAUGGCGAAGGCAGCCCCCUGGGCCUGCACUGACGCUCAUGCACGAAAGCGUGGGUAGCAAACAGG